GGCUACACACGUGCUACAAUGGGUAGUACAGAGAGUCGCAAAGCCGUGAGGUGGAGCUAAUCGCAGAAAACUAUUCUUAGUUCGGAUUGUACUCUGCAACUCGAGUACAUGAAGUUGGAAUCGCUAGUAAUCGCGAAUCAGCAAUGUCGCGGUGAAUACGUUCUCGGGUCUUGUACACACCGCCCGUCACACCACGAGAGUUGGUUGCACCUGAAGUAGCAGGCCUAACCGCAAGGAGGGAUGCUCCGAGGGUGUGAUUAGCGAUUGGGGUGAAGUCGUAACAAGGUAUCCGUACGGGAACGU
This 303-nucleotide ribosomal RNA is filed under the name uncultured Fusobacterium sp. RNAcentral describes it as "bacterial SSU rRNA". It matches the Rfam family "Bacterial small subunit ribosomal RNA", at positions 1212 to 1513 of the family's 1533-position model. Lineage: Bacteria; Fusobacteriati; Fusobacteriota; Fusobacteriia; Fusobacteriales; Fusobacteriaceae. The record is from RNAcentral.